RNAcentral lists this long non-coding RNA (20407 nucleotides) under Daucus carota (carrot). RNAcentral's name for it is "long non-coding RNA (DCAR_LNC007097)". Lineage: Eukaryota; Viridiplantae; Streptophyta; Magnoliopsida; Apiales; Apiaceae. The record is from RNAcentral.
CAUUGCUUCCACCAAUUUUCCUUGCCGUUUUCAGUGUUUAGUAGCUGUAAUAUUCUACCUGAUUACUCCCUUUCCUUAAUUGUAUGCAAACCCUUUGAUAUAUGCAUGUAUGUGUUGGCUGUGAUUAGGGUUUCGGCCCAAGAGGUGGCUUUGUUGUGCGAUUGUAUGAGAAAGGAGGCUGCGAGCCUCACCUGGGUCGAGAGCUCGUGAAAACGAAUCUCCCCAAGUGAAGGCUGGUCAUGGCGAUGAACUGCAGUGAGUCAUGGCCGGGGUUUUGUGAUAUUUUGAUUGUUGGGUUGAUUUUGAGGCUUGAUUUAUGAUUGAUUGUUGUUGCGUGUCAGUUUUUAGUAUAGAGUUAGUGAUUACAAGUAUUAAUUAGUUUUGGGUAAAACUGAAUCAUGAGUUUCUUUGUUGUUUUCGGUCGAAUCUCUACUUGAACCACUUUGAUUUAUGAUCCUUGCUAGCUGCAUGAGGUUCUUGGUGACAGAUUCUAUGUGUUCAAGGGCUCCCGUGUAGAGAAUUGAGAUAUUGGAAGUUGCAUAUUAGUUCUUAGGCCUUAAUAGUCAAUUUUUGGUGAUGUUUAAGAGUCAAUUUGUGGUACCAUACUGCUAGGACAAACCUGCCCUGUUUUGAUAUGCUUAAGAAUGGUGUGAAAUUGUUGAAAACAGGAUCGCUAAUAGGUUACAGCACUGAAAUCAGAAACCAAAACUAUAAAAUUUUAUUACAACUCAAACUACGUUAUCAGCUAAACUUCGGUAAGAAGGAUAACUGAUAACCAAUAAAUAAAAACUAUCUACAACUGAAUUGAAAUAAUUCAACUCUGGCCAUAACUAGUCUCGCAGCCACCUCCCUGGCAGUCUCGCCUAGCAUUACUCUUACGCGCAGCUUAUCCAAGUGACCAUCCUAAUCCUUAGCUGAAAGGGUUAGAAAUAAUAGCAAGAGUGAGCAAUAAUGCUCAGCAAGUAUAACAUUAUAUUUUUAACAGUGCAAUAUUAUAUGAAUUAAACCAAAUAUUUGUAACAGAGAUUCAGUUCUAGGUUCCCCUCAAAAUAAUCGAAGUUCAAUUACAUACUGCCACCCAUUUUAUAAAAAUUUCGAUUCCAAUGGGUCCCAACUAUUCUUUUAUCAGAAUAUAGUCCAUUUAUAAGAAUAUUUAAUUAUUAACUUCCUUUCAACUCAUUUGACAAUACAGGUGAUCAGCCACAUAAAGUCCUCCGUCCCGAGCACUGAACAUAAGUCCCAUCGGCAACGGAUCGUCCCAAGCACCGGAUAUAAGUCCCAUUGGUGACGAAUAUUGUGGUACCCAUUAGGCAUCUAAUUGGCCUUCGACUGGGCUAGGUUCGCUAGCCUCUUACGCCACACUAUUAUGGAACUUUCAACUCCAUCUCCUUAAAUUGUCCAUUUAUUUAGACGCUAUUUUCAUAAUAAUGUUUAUUUAGAAAGGAAAUGAACUUCCACAGUUCCCAAGACAAUAUAUUCAUGUCCCGGGCCACGGACGUAAAGUCCUCCCGGUGACACAUCGGUGCCCCGGGCCCCGGACGUAUAGUCCUCCCGGUGACAACAUAGGUGCCCCGAGCCCCGGACAUAAAGUCCUCCCGGUGACAAUAAUUGGUGUCCCGAGCCCCGGACAUAAAGUCCUCCCGGUGACAAUAAUUUGUGUACACAAUAGGCAUCUUGCUGGCCUUUCUGGUUGGCUAUUCACUAGCCCCCGGCUAUUCACUAGCCCCUCACAAUAUAUAUAAUAUAUCCUAAAACUCUUCUUUUCUUAUUUCAAAUCACCACCAUGUAACUCAAUGUAACCAAGUAGCUAUCUCAGCUAUCAAGAACAAGAUAUAUUUCUAGCAAUGUUGUCAACUGUAGAUAUAACAAUCGAGAUAUUUAACUUAUCUUUAAUCACACGAGAAAGAUAACAAUGCUUGCCCUUUCAAUAUAAAUGCAGAAUAGAAUUACUAGCAGUAAUUACAAGUUAAGAAUAGAAAUACUUGCUAACUGCAAGAGAAAGAUAGAUAGAAGUACUUGCCUUAAAUCCUGCUUCUCGGAUUUCUAUUAAUACUAUCUACUGACAAUUGUUCCCUUCUGCUUAGUUUCUGACAGAUUUUAGUAGAAUAUCCAUAGCACAGCUUCACUUUAUGGGUGUAUGUAAGCCUCGCACUGCAACACUAUUCAACUACUCCUAAACCUCUCGGUCGACUCUGUACAGCAGUAAGACAAUACUUCAAUCGUCGGAUCAGACGAAACUAAGUACUUCCAAAUACUAUUUAAAUCCGCAACUAACUACCCUUCGCAUAUCCACAUAUAACAAACGUGAAUAUAUAUAGAUAUCGAUAUAACAAUAUAUACAAGUUGGAUCAGUCUGACAAUUAACAACAUUAGCAUGAAACAAUUAAUAUAUAUUCCACUCCUACUAUAAUAUAAUGUUGUUAAUCGUCAAAUAUUCAUUAAUAAAUAAACUAUUUAAUUUCUAACAAAAAUUCGACAGCAUCUACUCUGUUUAUUGGACUAUCCACCUGUUUUAAAUUAAUACCAACAACCAACUAACCAACUCCUAAAUCAAAUACAUUUACAAUUACUGACUAGCUCCAACUAAUACACAAUUAUAAUCCAACAAUUCACAUAUCUCAAUUUAAACAUUUAUUGAAAUCUAAUUCUAGAUGCAAAUCCUUAAAACAAUGCAUAUAAUAAACUCGUAAUGUCACACCAUAUCAUUUAUUGACAAUAAAUCCAAUUUAAUAAAUUAAUAAACAAAACACAAUCUCAUUUGAUUAUUAUAUAUUAGAUAGUUUAUUGAAUACGUAUAUUAACGCAACAAACAUAUGCCUACUCCCGAUACAUAAACUAACUAUUGAAAUUAAGAAUCAGAUUAGACCAGUUAGAAAGAGGGACAUAUUGUGAUAUAAAGAUAAAUUCAAAUGGAAAAGUGUAAAGCAUAAAAAUUGUGGGAAAUUCCAAGACCUUUCCAGAAUGGUAAGGCUCAUUAAAAAUGAGAAAGUAAUGAAUUCAGAAACUUUAAAACAAGCAGCUGCAUAAGCAAUCUCAGCCGUGUUUUCACAAGUAACUUGACAAUUGAGACUCUAAAAUCAUAGAAUUGGUGUUUGGAAAGUAAACAACAAUUGUAGAGCUCGAAAAUAGCUUUUCAAAUCACUAAACCUCAUGAGCAUAUCAUAAAAAUUGAAUUUACUAUGAUUUUUCAAAUAACAGGGCAGUGCUUUUGAAAAUCAGUACGUGCUUGAUAAAACUCACAUAAAACUUGAAUUUCAAAUUCAAAUUAAACAAAACACAGUGAAUAAACAUUGUGGAAAAUUUCAAGACCGUUCUAACAGAAGUGGAAUCACUAGUUUUAGAUAAUCGAAGAAUUAUCUAUGAUUUUUACAAAAUCACAGACCUGCAUGACAAAACUGGAUUUCAAACCCAUUACACACAACAUACAAAAAUGAGCAAAUCUCUUAGCUCACUAAUCGAAAGUCUAUGAUUCCUUUUCGUACUUAAACUAGACACUAAGUUAAAUCUUUUCAUAGCAAAAAUCAUUACUUAAUAUGCCUUUGAAUUAUUCUAAACCGUGCUCAAAACAAAGGCAACAUAGCAGAAAUUAAUCAACCAAAAUCAAGCAAGACACGACAUACGCAAGACUCGAAACUAACAAAAUCAGCUAAAACAAUCACAGCCAACAGUGGUAUAAACACAUAUAUACACACAAAAAGUACACAUACUCAGCCACCACAAAAUAGCUCCACCACUACUAGCCUCCAUCAUCUCUCUCCCGGCCAUAUUUCUCUCUCUAUCCCUCUCUCUCUUCUCGUAGUUGCUGCUGCGGUUUCCUUCGGCCAAACACGGUGCUACCACAUCGCAGGCCACCACCGAGCCGCCCAAACACAGCCCCCUUCCUUAUCCCUCCGUUCCAGUACGCGGCGUCACCGCUGCCUUAAGGCCACCCGCUGCAACAAUUCCGACCCACCGCCACCAAGAACCACAGCAACCCCAAGCAUAUACACACAUAGGUCUUAUACAUAUAUUCAAUCAAAAACACAUAAAUCUCACCUUCAGAUAUGAUUUGUGCGGUAAUUGAAUUGAUCCCCCAAGAUGAACCCUAAUCCCCCAAAACAAAAGAAGACCCGAUGCUGCGUGUCUGCUUGUUUUUUUUUUUUUUAAUUUUAAAUUAAAUUNNNNNNNNNNNNNNNNNNNNNNNNNNNNNNNNNNNNNNNNNNNNNNNNNNNNNNNNNNNNNNNNNNNNNNNNNNNNNNNNNNNNNNNNNNNNNNNNNNNNNNNNNNNNNNNNNNNNNNNNNNNNNNNNNNNNNNNNNNNNNNNNNNNNNNNNNNNNNNNNNNNNNNNNNNNNNNNNNNNNNNNNNNNNNNNNNNNNNNNNNNNNNNNNNNNNNNNNNNNNNNNNNNNNNNNNNNNNNNNNNNNNNNNNNNNNNNNNNNNNNNNNNNNNNNNNNNNNNNNNNNNNNNNNNNNNNNNNNNNNNNNNNNNNNNNNNNNNNNNNNNNNNNNNNNNNNNNNNNNNNNNNNNNNNNNNNNNNNNNNNNNNNNNNNNNNNNNNNNNNNNNNNNNNNNNNNNNNNNNNNNNNNNNNNNNNNNNNNNNNNNNNNNNNNNNNNNNNNNNNNNNNNNNNNNNNNNNNNNNNNNNNNNNNNNNNNNNNNNNNNNNNNNNNNNNNNNNNNNNNNNNNNNNNNNNNNNNNNNNNNNNNNNNNNNNNNNNNNNNNNNNNNNNNNNNNNNNNNNNNNNNNNNNNNNNNNNNNNNNNNNNNNNNNNNNNNNNNNNNNNNNNNNNNNNNNNNNNNNNNNNNNNNNNNNNNNNNNNNNNNNNNNNNNNNNNNNNNNNNNNNNNNNNNNNNNNNNNNNNNNNNNNNNNNNNNNNNNNNNNNNNNNNNNNNNNNNNNNNNNNNNNNNNNNNNNNNNNNNNNNNNNNNNNUAAGUUUUGGGUAAAAACUGAAUCAUUGAGUUUCUUUGUUGUUUUCGGUCGAAUCUCUACUUGAGCUACUUUGAUUUAUGAUCCUUGCUAGCUGCAUGAGGUUCCAGGUGACCGAUUAUAUGUGUUCAAGGGCUCGUGUGUAGAGAAUUGAUAUAUUGGAAGUUGCAUAUUAGUUCUUAGGCCUUAAUAGUCAAUUUUUGGUGAUGCUUAAGAGUCAAUUUGUGAUACCAUGCUGCUAGGACAAACCUGCCCUGUUUUGAUAUGCUUAAGAAUGGUGUGAAAUUGUUGUUGGUUAGUGUGUAAAUUACUGAUUUUGUAAGUGCCUUGAAGUGUAGUUUAAGUGUGAAAAAUAAAUUUGAGAUUUCGUUUAGUAAAACUAAAGUUAUAUGAUUUUAUUGUAUGAAAUAGUUUAAGAUUCUCGAAGCUGAAAUUUUUCUCGGUUUUGGAUACUAAUUAAGCAUUUUGAGAGUAGUUGUAAAAUAUCAAAACCUCUGUAACUAGAUGCUAUGUAGAGUCUUAUGUGAUUACCAAGAAGAAUUACUUGAUUUGGAUAUGUAUAAUUAAAGUUAUGAAUUUUGUAAGCCAAUAGUGUCAACCUCCCUGCUAUAGUUGAAAUUCUGUUGUGUACUUCAUUUUCAAAAAUGCAUAACUUAAUAACUACACGUCCAAAUCUGCUUUUGUUGUUUUUAUAAUGUGGUUAUGUGAUUAGUCUUUGGUUUGUAUUCUUUAAAAAUCAUGAUUUGAGGUCGUUUUGUAUUUUAUAAAAAUUGGAUUAGCUAGAUAUGUCAAAACUGUUCAAGUCUGCCCUGUUUUGCUAAAUGAGACAUUGUGCAAGUUCUAUAAAUGAUAAAAUGAUAGAAUCUUUUUGGAUUGACUAGAUAAUUCCAAUUAUGAUAUUUUCUGUUCAUAUUGCUUAGAGAAAAGACUUGAUAUAUCAUGCUAUAAACUGAAGUAAUUGAGAUACUUGCUGCUGAAUGGUGUUAAAUAGUUGACUUAAACUUUAAAUUCCCGUUUCGUUACUUGAUCAAUUUUUUCAUACCUUAUAUGGUUAGAAAUCUCUUUAAAUUUCCUAUCUUUCUUGAUUGAUGUUCAUUUGAUAUUGAGAUAGCCUAAUGGUAGUAAAUUGCUAAUCUUUCAGUGGUUGUCCAGCAGUUUAUGUGACUGAGAAACAACUGUAAAUUAGACAAUAAUUUUAUGUGUUAGAUGUAUGAUACAUGUAUAUAUGCAUAUGUGAGAUUCUUGUUUAUAUGUUAUGUGUAAAUAAUAUAUUAUGUGGUUGUUGUAUAUUAUAUAUACAUUAUUUAUUUAGUUAUUAUUUCCUUGUUUCAUUUAAUUCUUAUUUGCUUAUAUAAUAUUAUAUACUAUUAUCUUAAUAUUUAUAUAGAGUGUAAAGUAUGAUUGUUUUUUUUAAUCGCGAAUGGGUAGAGAUGAAAUCGAAUAGUGACACGUUUUUUAUUACUAUUUAUAGGUCCGAGUAGGCGAGCAGGAAAAAAGCCAAUCGCGGACCAACCCUAAACCGUAAGCGUAGCACGUUUCUUAAGGCAAGUAUAUUAUCCAACUAACUUGAUUAAAGAUUUUGAUGUCAUGAUUUGAUACUUGAUUUUUAGAAUAUUACAAUUUUGUUUAUCAUUGAAAUCAAAGUUUAAAACUCUACUAGUUCCCAAGUAUUCUAGAUUGUUAUAAACGAAGAACUUGUAUAACUUUUGAUUCUUUAACCUAUCAUAUUUCUCCCCUACAAAGUUGAUUCUCUAGAACCCUGUUAUAAGCUUACAAUAACACUAAGAACUGAUACCUUGAAUUCUUCAAUGUUAACAAACCAGAAGUAUUCUUCACCUAAUAGGCCACUUCACUUGGUUGUCAUAUGAACCUAAAUAAGAACCUAAACCAUUUAUGCUUACAAUAUUAUAAACUAUGCAUUAUUUUAAAAGAAAAUAUACAUAUAUUUAUUAUAAAUAUACAUAUUUAUAAUUAAAUAUUAAAAUUUAAUUGUAAAAUUAUAUUUAUUUCGUGUACAUGUUGUCGUGUCGUGUACCCAAAGGAUAAACACAAAACCAACACGACAUCUAAGUUGUGUACUUCGUGUUCCUUGUACUUUACGUAUCGUGUACUCAAAAUGCAAACACAAACACUAAAUUUUUGUGUCGUUUUCGUGUCGUAUGAAAAAUUAUCUAGUCUACCAAUGGUACUCAUGGGCACACUCUAGAAAAAUUAUUGUAAUAAAAAUGUUUUUAGAAGCUAGGAUUUGUAAGUGUAAGUAGUAGUAAAACCGUUGUAAUAAAAAUGUUUUUAGAAGCUAGGGUUUGUAAGCGCAAGUAGUAGAAAUUGUAGCCAACCAAUGGGUUUGGAUUUAUAGCAUCCUUAGAUGUUUUAUCAAUAAAGAUAUAUCUUGAAAAAUAUUGUGUGUCGGUUUAUUAUUUAAUAUAUUCUCAGGAAUCUUAACGAUAAAUAUCCGGAACACAAAAUCCAUUACGAGCAGGACUGUAAUUUAUUUAUCCGCAAGAUUCGAAAGAAUUUUAAAUUGUAGUGAGUGCCGUAUUGAACCCUCUUGUACGAUACUUCGGGACCUAACAAUGCAUGAUGAAUUGGCUGCACAAAAAGUCACAGUCUAAUGUUGAAGUUAUCUAAUUGACACUCUGGAUUAAGGCAAUAAAAUAUAUAUAUCUGUUAUUUCAUUUAUUUAUUUAUUUUCAUAUUGUUUAAUAAUAUACAUAUAUGAAAUUUUUAUCUUAUUCAAUCACAUCUAUCUCAUUAUCUCCAUCAUCCUCUAGAUAAUGGCUUGUUAAUUUCGACUACCAAUUUUUUUAUGGUUUAAUAAAUUCGACCGCCUCGGAAAACGGUAUGUUUAUUUCGACCAAAAUUCAAAUUCAAAGGUUUAAUAACUCAUUUUUCAGUUUUUUUAAGAACUUGAGCGGGAAGUUCAAAUUUUCAUUGAAAACAAAUUUUGGGCUGAAAAGGACGGUCGAAAAUAGCGGUCGAAUUUAAAUAUAUUCGACCGGAAAUUAUUCUCGACUAGCUUAAAUUCGACCGGUACUUUCCUGGUCGAAAAUGACUAUUUUCGACCGUAUACGGUCGAAAUAAGGCAUUUUCGACCAGAAUUAGACGGUCGAAAAUGAUUUCUUCUCUUGUAGUGUAGGAAUAACUUGACAAAAAACUUCUGUCAUUUGCUUGGUUAGUGUAAGUUUAAAGGUUGGGCUACAUUUUGAUGCUUAAGUGAUAAUUUUUAAGGCUAUUUUUUGUGGUUAAGUCAAUUUUCUUAUUUUUGAGUUUAUAGGAGUUCUAUCUGUCCGAUUAUAAUGAAUUUUGGACAACAUAUUUCUUAAUCCUCUAGUAUCUAAAUGUUUAAAGGUGGAGAUAGAAUUUGUAAGUCUAGAUUGUCUAAUUAUAGAGUUUAUGGCAUAGAUAUUUGUAUCACAGUGAGGGUUAAACUUUACGUGGUGAAAUGACGUGUCUUUUUUUUCCCAAAAUACAUUUUUGGUUGAUUCUUAAAUUAAAGUCAAGGUUACUAGGAUAAGUCAGCCUUAAUUCUAGAUAUCAUGGUUGUCAUCCCACCUAAAAAUGACUGAAUGAUGAAGAAGGUGGCUAUAAAGCAAUCGACGUCUUUAUAUAUAUAAUGUGUAUCUGAAUACUAUCUCUAUCAUUAUCAUUAGUGACUCUCUCUUUAAAAAGUGUUGUAACACAGGAACUUUUGUUUGUACAUAUAUUGAAGGUAUUUUUCGAUAUAAUUGUGAAUAAUUAACAUGGUUGGUAGCCGAUGAACUAUUACAUAAAAUAAGUAUAUAUAAUAUUAAAUAGAUAUAUGUUUUUAUUUAAUCAAAACACUACAUAAUGGAAGGUUUAGAGUAUUAUUUUUGUUCAUAUCAAUAUUUGUGAAAUAUAUAAUAACACCAUCAAGCUAAUAUCUUAAUAUGAUAUGAGUUGGGUUUAUUAAGUACUACGACCCGAUCCAAUAAAGGCCUGCGUAUCCGGUUUAAUCGGAUCUAAAUUCCGCUUCGAUCCAAUAAACGGCCCAGCCCAGAUGCAUGAAUCGUAAGGAGAAUUUAGAUGGGCUCGAGGCCCAUAUAACGGCCCAGCUACGAGCCUGAAUCCUGUAAGACUACCAAUUCUCACGGAUAAACGUCUGGGAGUCCAUGAUAGACACUAAUACUCGAAGAUAAGAGUUCUGUCUUAUCUCCGACACCGAAGCAUACUUCGAUAAGAAGUCUGAUACAUGGAAUCGUACUUCCAUUCAGCUUCUGACUCCGAAGUAUCUAUAUAAAGGGCUCCACCCCUCAUAAUUAGAACUACGUUUUGGACUUGAUUCUUCUCCUGGCAGAGGAUACGUAGGCAUCUCGCAUCGAGACCAGUCCAAAGCACGAAUCGCUCACCCCCUUCGUUUUCUGUUCUAUAACAUUUGGCGCCGUUUGUGGGAACUUAGACAACAACCAUGACGAAUCCAACCGGACCACGUUCUGAAAUUCACGUUCCCCGUAGCAGAACUACCACCGGAACUUCUACUGAGCCCAUUCCCGUCAUUGCCACUAUCCCGCUCGGGACCACUGUUGCUCAAACUACUCUUCCGCUGACUUUUGGCUCGCUGCCCCCUCUGACUCGAGUGAUUGCAACCGUCACCGACGCCGGCACGCAUUACUCAACCGUCACGACAACCACUCGUGGAGGCACGGGUGAUGACUAUGUGCACGUAACUGAUUACGACUCCUCAGAGUCGGAGCAAGAGCGUGAUACCCCCCCUCGGAGGAGGAGAGAUACCGAUCAUACUCGACACCGUCGACGCCGCCAUAGGCAGGAGGCUAAUGAGCCCCGAGGGGCAACAAACCAGGCCUACGAGGAUCGAAUCCGUGCGUAUGAGGAAGAAAAUGCACGAUUAAAAAGGGACCAGGCAAGGUUGCCGCCUCCGGAACCAAGAGAUGAAAACCCUCGUCAGAAUGUCAUGAAUCAGAUUUACUUGUUACCAGCAGGUGAUCCCGAUAACCCCGUUCCCCCUUUCACCCAGGAAAUUAUGGGUGCAAGGAUUUCAAGAAAAUUCAAACUCCCAACCAUAAAAGCUUAUGAUGGCACGGGUGAUCCCGCUAACCAUGUCCGGACCUUUAUGAACGCUCUGUUACUCCAACCAGUCAUGGAGGCCAUUAAGUGUCGCACUUUUCCUCAGAUGUUGAGCGGGAUGGCGCAACAUUGGUAUAGUCGCUUACCCCCAAAUUCUAUCUCUUGUUUUGCUGACUUGAGCAGGGCCUUUAUAGGACAAUUUGUUGGAAGCAAAACACACGCCAAAAGCUCCGCCUCGUUAAUGAAUUUGCACCAGGGUAAGAACGAAUCGCUCCGAGAGUAUAUGAAUCGUUUUACCAAAGAAGCCUUGAAGGUCCUAGAUCUGGAUCAGAAGGUAGCCAUGAUUGCACUCCAGCAAGGUACCACUGAUGAUAAUUUUCGUAGGUCUCUAGCCAAGAGGGCCCCUGAUAAUAUGAACGACUUACAAGAGAGAGCCGGGAAGUAUAUUAAGGCAGAAGAAAGCCUAAGGAAAUCCCAGAAUAACCAAGGGCUGAACGCUAAUUUUAAGAAACGUGGGAACGACGCCGAGUAUAACGCUGAGAAUAAAUAUGCCAAAAAGGAUGAUGAUGAGAAGUCUCCUGCUAAAAGGAAGGUAGGACCAAGGUUCACCGAAUACGCUAGGCUCAACGCCCCGAGGAGUCAAAUCCUACUGGAGAUAGAAAAGGAUGAGAGUGUUCGAUGGCCGAAGCCCAUAAGGACUGACCCAGAGAAACGUAAUAAAGAUUUGUAUUGUCGAUUCCACAAAGACACGGGGCAUAAAACCGAUGAUUGUCGGCAGUUGAAAGAUGAAAUUGAAUUCUUGAUCCGAAGAGGCAAGUUGUCCAAAUUCACCAAGGAUGGAGACAAAAAUUAUCGGGACAAUGACAGCCGUGGAAGAGACAAUGAUGAUAAGAGAACCCAGCCUCGAGGGCCUGUGAUUAACGUGAUCUCCGGAGGGCCUACAGCUGCCGGAACCUCAAGUAAUUCACGGAAAGCUUAUGCGAGGGAAGUAAUGAGUAUAGUUGGAGAACCCCCGAAGCGGGCAAAAAUUGACUAUGCAAUGGCAUUCGAUAACAUCGACCUCGAGAAGGUAAAAUUUCCCCAUGAUGACCCCUUAGUAAUUACACCAGUGAUUGGAAACUCGUCCGUAAAGAGAGUGCUCAUUGAUAAUGGAGCCUCGGUGGAUAUUUUGUUCUAUGAUGCCUAUGAAAAGAUGGGAUACUCCGAUACUCAACUGACACCCUCGGAUAUGCCUAUAUAUGGCUUCAACAAUGUGGAAACCAAGAUUGAAGGCAUGAUCCAACUCCCUGUAACUAUGGGUACCGAACCUAGACAAGCCACAUGCAUGAUAAACUUCUUGGUUGUUAAAGCUUCGUCGACCUAUAAUGCCAUCCUUGGAAGGACCGGAAUACACGCUUUUAAGGCAAUCCCAUCCACUUACCACAUGAAGAUUAAAUUCCCGACUAGGAACGGAAUUGGAGAAGAAUUAGGAGAUCAGAAAAUGGCCCGAAGCUGUUAUAUUGGGGCAUUAAGAUCUGGAGGAGCCGGGGGGCAAGUAUUACCUAUAGAGGACCUUGAUGUCCGAGAAGAAGAGGAACGGAGAGGCAAGCCUGCCGAAGAUUUGGUUCCAAUCCAAUUGUAUACAGAAGAACCUCAAAAAGGUCACUUAUGUUGGAGCAUUACUCCAGGAAGAUUUGAAACAAGAGUUUGUGAGGUUCUUGAGGAACAACCGUGAUGUUUUCGCUUGGACAGCGACCGAUAUGCCAGGUAUCGAUCCCUCAUUCAUGACCCAUAAGUUGAAUGUAAACCCCGAGAGGAAACCUAUUAAACAGAAGAAAAGGAACUUCGCCCCUGAAAGGCAAGAAGCCAUUAAACAGGAGGUCGAUAAGUUGUUGGAAGCAGGUUUUAUCGAAGAGAUACAAUUUCCAGAAUGGUUGGCGAACCCUGUUAUGGUCAAGAAGGCCAAUGGAAAGUGGAGGAUGUGUGUAGACUUCACUGAUCUGAAUGAUGCUUGUCCCAAGGAUUGUUUCCCUCUUCCAAGGAUAGACACGUUAAUAGAUGCCACCGCUGGCCAUGAGAUGCUGAGCUUCAUGGAUGGCUUCAGCGGAUAUAAUCAGAUCCGGAUGGACAAGGACGAUGUACCCAAGGUAUCGUUUAUCACUGACUUUGGUGUAUUUUGUUAUUUGGUUAUGGCCUUUGGACUUAAGAAUGCAGGAGCAACAUACCAACGCCUUGCAAACAAGAUGUUUAAACAUCUGAUUGGAAAGACUAUGGAGGUAUACGUAGACGAUAUGUUGGUGAAAAGCUUGAACAAAGCGGAUCACCUUGAACACCUUAAAGAGGCCUUUGAAGUCCUAAGGACGCAUAAGAUGAUGUUAAACCCCGCUAAGUGUGCCUUUGGGGUCGGUUCUGGGAAGUUCCUGGGUCUAAUGGUCUCAAAGCGUGGUAUUGAAGCCAACCCCGACAAAAUAAAAGCUAUCUUAGAUAUGGAACCCCCAAAGAGUGUAAGGGAUGUUCAGAAACUGACAGGAAGAAUUGCAGCCUUGGGAAGGUUUGUAUCUAAGUCAGGAGACAAGUGCUUGCCUUUCUUCAAAGCAUUAAAGAAGGUUAAGAACUUUGAAUGGACGGAUGAGAGCCAAGUGGCCUUCGAACACCUAAAGAAAUAUAUGGCAGAGCCACCACUCUUAUCAAAACCCGUAGAGGGCGAAAUCCUGUAUGUAUACUUGGCUGUCUCGGAACAAGCGAUAAGCGCCGUCCUGGUUCGGGAGGAAUCCAAAGUACAGAAACCAGUAUACUAUGUGAGCAAGGUUCUGCAUGGAGCGGAGCUCAAUUACUCAGUAAUCGAAAAGUUUGCUUUGGCCAUGAUUACGGCCUCGAGGAAGUUGAGACCUUACUUUCAGUCUCAUAAAAUAGAAGUCUUGACAGACCAACCUCUCCGUAAUGUUAUACAUAGCCCGAAGGCUAGCGGAAGAUUAAUUAAGUGGGCAAUCGAGCUCGGGGAGUUUGAUAUCCGAUACAAGCCUCGAACGGCGAUUAAGGCACAGGCUUUAGCUGACUUCCUCGUCGAAUGUACCAUCAACAACGAGGAAGUCGGGGGGCAGGAAGGCAAGGUAGAAGAGCCCACUAAGGAAGAGAAACCUAAAGAAUACUGGUUGCUAUUUUUUGACGGGGCUUCAAAAACAAAAGGUAGUGGUGCAGGAUUGGUGCUCCAGAGCCCUGAUGGCUUUACGGUGGAAUAUGCUAUUAAGCUAGACUUCCCAACCACUAAUAAUGAAGCUGAGUAUGAAGCACUAAUAGCUGGGCUUGGUUUGGCUAGAACCUUGAGGGUAAAAAACUUGAAAGUCUGUGGCGACUCAAAGCUCGUAGUCUUCCAAGUGAAUGGUGAGUUUGAAGCCCGUGAGGAGACUAUGCUGAAGUAUCUGAGGAUUGUGAAGACCCAGAUGGCACAAUUUGAAGAAUGUCUAGAAGAAUAUGUGCCGAGGGAGGAAAACACUAAGGCUGAUGCCUUGUCGCAAUUCGCAUCCUCUGAUGACGAGGUAUGUUCACGAAGCGUUUAUUAUCAGGUUUUGAGAACCCCAAGCAUCGAAGCAAAAUUAGUUGCCCCCAUUAACACAGGGCCACUUGGAUGGAUGAAAUUAAGUUGUACUUACAAAGCGGCCAUCUGCCGCCUAAUGCUGAUGAAGCACGAAAGUUACAGGUAAGGGCCCUUAAGUAUGUACUCAUUGAGGGAGUCUUAUAUAGAAAAUCGUUUGUGAUCCCUUACUUGAGGUGCUUAAGGCCUGAUGAGGCUCAAGAAGCCCUAAGGGAGGUACAUGAAGGUGUAUGUGGCCAACACCUUGGAGGAAGGGCUUUGGCUCAUAAAGUCACUCGCCUUGGAUUCUAUUGGCCAGAUAUGCUAAAGCACGCUCAAGACUAUGUGAAAAGGUGUGAUCGUUGUCAAAGGUUUGCACCCGUUGUACGACAGCCACCUGAGAUGCUGACAUCUAUCAAUACUCCUAUCCCCUUUGCAAUGUGGGGGAUGGAUAUUCUUGGACCGUUUCCACUUGCAAGUGCGCAGAGAAAGUUUCUAUUGGUUGCGAUUGAUUAUUUCACUAAGUGGAUUGAAGCCAAGCCGUUGGCCAAGAUAACCACCAAGCAAGUUGCUCAAUUUGUGUGGGAGAACAUUAUCUGCAGGUACGGAAUACCUCGAGUCAUGGUUACAGACAAUGGGAAUCAGUUUAAUAAUGCUGAGUUUAGAAGUUAUUGUGAGGAUUACUCGAUUGAGUUACGCCUCACUUCAGUUGCCCAUCCUCAAGCUAAUGGACAAGCUGAGGUGGCCAAUAGGAUAAUCCUUGAUGGACUGAAGAAAAGAGUUGAGAAAGCCCAGGGAUCAUGGGCCGAUGAGAUACUCCCUAUACUAUGGGCGUAUCGAACAACUUGUAAGGUUUCAACUGGGGCAACCCCCUUUCAGCUGGCUUAUGGAGCCGAGGCAGUGGUGCCACUUGAAAUCACUCAUACAUCCUCCAGGGUCCAGCAGUAUGAGCCAGAAGCCAAUGAAGAAGGUAUGAGACUUGCGCUUGAUAUGAUUGAUGAGAUUCGUGAUGAAGCCCAUGCUAAGAUUGUGGAAAACCAGAAACGAGCUUCCUAUUACUAUAACCUACGGGUUAAGGAGCGAUACUUCCGGGAAGGAGAUCUGGUACUUAGAAAAAUUGAAGCUUCUGGGUGAUUUCCGAAAAAUAUUUUUAAAAAAAUCAAUUUUGAAAGAUUGAAAUAUUUGUUAUGCGGUUUCCAAAGAUUUUACAAAUUAUAAUUUGUUUAGUUUAUUUGGAAUAUCUGUACCAUGUGAUUUUAAAGUUGUGAAAACUAUUUGUUUUAAACCAUUUGAUAGAUAUAGGGUAUACCGAGUUAACCAGCUGUAGGGGUACUACAGCCAUGUCUUUGCGGCACCAUUGACAUGACACUUCCGUGAUAGUGUGAUUGGUCAUGGCGUAUCCUUCUGUUAGCUCUUGGGAGGAGCUUUGGCCAUUAUGAUUAUUUGUUGAGGAUACGUGGGUGCCUCAGUUUGAUUUGAUCAGUGAUUUGACAGUGACGUUGUAUAUGCCGUACCCGUUAUCUGGUUUGUUGCCGGCAUUAGGUACCCUAUGAUGUGUGUAUUUGUAUCUAUUCUAUUUGAUGACAGAAGUUAGUAGUUACCACAAGAAUAAGGUCAUGUUGACCACUGCCAUGUAGUUGGUUUCCGAAAGUAGUUUAUCUCUUUUACUAUGAUAUUAAUAAAGUCCUGAGGAUUAUCUAACUUGUUUCUUCAGGUUAUUCUUACUUGUGUUUCCACCUGUGUUUUCUUCAAUAGACGACCACGAGUUUCAAGUUUGAACUUACACGCUUAAAGCUAGAAAUCCUAAGUACGAACCACUUUGGAUAGAAAGCUCAUAAAAUAAUAUACUGACUCGUAAGAGUUAAACCCUGCAGGGUGAUUACAAAAAUCAGAAGAUUAUUCUAAGACUUGGUCUCCCGAGUUUAAUUUUAAUCCUAAGUUAAGGAUAUUUUAUUGUUAGGUUUGAAAUCCUAAACUUAAUGCACGAUAUGCAGAAAAGCAGAAAAAAGCAUAAGACGAAAGUUAAUCCAAAACGUAUUCUAAGUAAAGAAUGCUAAAUACGCGAGAUUAAAAAGUGAGACAAAAGAGAAUUUAAAUAUAUAAGUUAAAACCCCGAAGGGUAUAAAUAUCCGAAUAAUUAAUUACAGAAAUAAGCCACGCAGGGCCGAAAAGGAAACCUAGCCUAAGGCAGCCCAUCAUCGAAAAUGUCUUCUUGGGCCUUCUCUUGGGCUUCCUUCUCCUGGAUCUCCUCGUCUUGGGCCUCGACCUCCUCCUCGAGAUCCUCCUCGGCCCGCUUGGGAUCCUCGAUCACAAGAGUCUCAAUGGGGACUCCCCCAUCUUGGGAAUCAAUUGGGUGCGAAUCACCGAGAUCCUCUACCGCCAUCGGAGAAGGGGUUUCCUCUCCGGGAAGUGAAGGAACCGGGAACCGUUCCAAUGUGACCCCCUCGACUUGGGCCCCCACUUCAUCUAUGAUUCUCUCCCAGCAGGAUUUGAAAGUCUCGUGGAAGGAAGCGUCGUACUCCGCCGCAAGGAGAUCGGCGAACUCCGGCGACGCCUUGUAGUCAGCAAUCGCCUCCCGGCGCACCCUUUCCAACUCGGCCUCCAACGACCGCACCUUCUCCUGCUCAGCCACCAAUUCGGCCUCCGUCUUCCUGAACUGCUCGAAAUUGGCGGCUGAGGCUUCGAAGUAACGAUCACGGUCACGUUCCGCGAUCGCCUUCUCCGCCCUCACCGUUUUCAGGUUGUGGACGGCCGCCUGGAGAUAGGUGUUCAUCUGCGAGAAAGCAAACAAAAUCCCUAAGUAGGAAAACAUCUACUAAGUAAAACAAAAAGGAAGAAAAAAUUUCUAAGUAGAGGAAAUGACAUGAAGGGAAAAUGGGCCUUACCGUCGCCACGGCUUGGGCCCCCAACAUCUCUAUUUGAAGGUCCUCUGAGGACUCGACCACGUGGGCCCGGUCGCGAGGGGUCACGACGUUCUUGGACCAUUCAGCGGCGGCCCGAGCAUCCCCCACCACAGUGUCCUUAUUCAAAAGGCCCCACUAGACCACGUAAGGACUUGGGUCCUCGUCCACGGUCUUGGGCCUUGGGGCCAGGAAGGCCGAGACCUUCUCCACUACUUCGUCGGCCCCGCUCUUUCUGGGCCUCUUCACCCGUUGAACCUGGGUGGGCACAACCUUCGCCGCGGCCUUCUCCCUCUUGGCGAAGAUUGUGUUCAACCUUUCUUGGUCUGCAAACGCAAAAUCAAAAAGAAAAUUAGAAUACGACAGAUGAAUAAACAAGGCCCAAAUAACUAAGGGUAAAAGAAAAUUACCCUCUAGGCCCAAAUCACUUAGCCCAUGUUCCUGGAGCGAAGCCUCAGAAACGAGAACGGAGCAAUGGUGGAGGCAGUCCCCGGUCAAAAUUUGGAUUGCCGCCUCUUCCUCCACCCCCAGUUUUAAAGUCCUAACAGGCCCAUCUUCGGCCCUACUAAAGUUUGAAUAAAAGUAGUCGGCCCAGUCCCCUUCGUUCAAAUAUAAAUAAAACCACUGUUUUUUCCAGUGGGGAAGCGAGUCAGGGGCGGUGCCCGAAACAAAGAUACUACGGACCAAGCUCCUAUACUGGAUCUUGACCCAACCCUCAUCAUUGGGCGCAUUGACAAAUUUAAAAAGAUAUCUAAAAACAGAGACACUAGGCUCAAUACCGUGUUUCUUGCACUGGACCAAGAAACAAUAGAUGAAUUUCCAGCCAUUGGGCUGGAGUUGGGUCGGACAAAUGCGGGCCUCAGCUAAGAGCCUAAAAACAAAUUCAGGUGGGGGUAACCUGAAGCCCGCAUAAAAAGUUUCUUUAUAAAUACGAAUAGCUCCAGGUUUUGGGUAACAGGCUCGAUCAUUUGGGCCUGGGGCCACGGCCCUAUAAGGUCCGUUGAUGCCAAACAAGUAGGCUAUAGCAUCAACGUCCUUCUGGUCGUAUUUGGAAGGGAACUUGUAUGCAUCUAAAUGAAGUAGGUUCAGAAAAGCUUGACCGAACUCAGAAAGAAGGUCUCGAAGAGAAAAAACACUGGCAUGAACAAGGGAUUUUUUACCUCGAUUGACCUUGGCGGUGGCCACAGGAGGCUGUGAUAGCUGAGAUUGUUGAGAUUGUUGAGAGGAUGAAGAAUCCGCCAAUGAUCUUCAAAGAGAUGAAGAAUGAAAGCCCAGAAAUUGAUGAAGGAGGAUGAAGAUUGAACGGAAUCUGGAGAAAUCUUUGAAGAUUGCCCAGAAACUGGAAAAAAGCUUUAAAGAUUGGCCGGGAACUGCAGAAGAACUUGAAGACAGCCGGAAAUACGCCUCAGACUUCGCCGAAAAACUAGAGGGUUUGAGAGUGUUUGGGAGGAUUUUAAGCUCUUAAACUUGGAAACUAUUGUGCGAAAUGAGAAAUGAAAUCUCAAGUCACACUUAUAUAGAAAAAGUUCAACCCGUUCACUUGCCGGUAAACCCUAAAACAGACAGGUUGCAACCGGUAAAAUGGGCUUUGGGCCGGUCAUAUAGCCAUGUCAUAGGCGGGAAGCCCAUGGUUUUAAAAAAUUCGAACCUAUUCUAGAAGGAUCUCGAGAAUUCUGGGAGACACUCACAAAAAAUAAAAGAAUAAUACACUAUAUAGGCCUGACAAAUUUAUAGACUAAGGCCCACAACAUAUAACACGACAGUACUCCUAAGUAUGUCUUCUACACGUGGUACGCCCAGGACACAUUCACUUGUUGAACAAAAACAUCGUUUGUUAAAAUAAAUAAAUGAUAAUUUCGUUAAGGUAAUAAAAUGGAUACGCAUCUCGUGGCGGGGUUAAAAACCAUGUUUCCUAGGCGCGGCAAAGCACGCCUAGAGAACAACAACUUUUCAAGCCAGUGACGGGCCUCACCAACCCACGCCCAGGAGACAUGUCUCCUAGGCCUGUUAAACAACGUGCCUCCUUGGCGUGGCAAGGCACGCCAAGGAAGCAUCUUCUUGAUUAGCCGUGACAGGCUUUACCUAUCCCCGCCUAGGAGACACGUCUCCUGGGCGCGCUAGCAGACAUGCCUCCUUGGCGUGCCAAAGCACGCCAAGGAAGCACCACACGAACCAGUCUUGGCUAGCUUAAUGCAACCACGCCCAGGAGACAUGUCUCCUCGGCGUGGUAGUGUACAUUUCUCCUUGGCGUGGCAUGGCACGCCCAGGAGACACAUUUCAUUCAAGGAAUGAUUGACCAAAUUAAAGAAUUAUUAAAUUCUUUAAUCAAUUUCUGAAAAUUCAAAAAAAAAAAUUGGAAUAAAUCCCAAAAAAUCUGAAGGAAUAAAAGACGCUGAGAUUUAAUUCUCAAAAAUUGUUUUGAAAGUUAUUCACAGGCUCGAAAAAUUCUAAAAGUUGGAGUUUAAUCUCAAAAAUUCCAGUAAAAUAGAAUUUAGCCUUGAAAAAUACGAGAAUACCCGAGGACCUCGUCUCGAUAAGAAGUACGGCAAAGUACACGAUGUUCGAUAUUAAUACUCCUGUAAACUUUCGAUAAAUUACUAUGAUAUUUGUCGAAAGUUGGGGGGCAAAUGAUAUGAGUUGGGUUUAUUAAGUACUACGACCCGAUCCAAUAAAGGCCUGCGUAUCCGGUUUAAUCGGAUCUAAAUUCCGCUUCGAUCCAAUAAACGGCCCAGCCCAGAUGCAUGAAUCGUAAGGAGAAUUUAGAUGGGCUCGAGGCCCAUAUAACGGCCCAGCUACGAGCCUGAAUCCUGUAAGACUACCAAUUCUCACGGAUAAACGUCUGGGAGUCCAUGAUAGACACUAAUACUCGAAGAUAAGAGUUCUGUCUUAUCUCCGACACCGAAGCAUACUUCGAUAAGAAGUCUGAUACAUGGAAUCGUACUUCCAUUCAGCUUCUGACUCCGAAGUAUCUAUAUAAAGGGCUCCACCCCUCAUAAUUAGAACUACGUUUUGGACUUGAUUCUUCUCCUAGCAGAGGAUACGUAGGCAUCUCGCAUCGAGACCAGUCCAAAGCACGAAUCGCUCACCCCCUUCGUUUUCUGUUCUAUAACAACCAUCAAGCUAAUAUCUUAAUAAUUAUAAUUUAAUAUAGUUUUUCCUAUGACCAAAUGAUAUAAAUUUUCAAAAAUAAAUCAAAAGAUUAUAUUUAAAUGAAUCAUUUAUUAGAUCUUAAACCAUGACACGGUAUAGAGUUACCCCAUACAAGAUUAAGAGCUCGUUAAAGUUCUUAUUGGGCUGCUACCAAGAAGGCCUUUCUGACCAAAACCCUAAUCUUUCGUAUAUGAUCAAUGUCAGAGGGUUGGCCACACACCCGCCCCUUGUAUUUGAUAAGUCUAGUUCUCUCGCUAGAAGUGUAUAAUAUCAUCAUGAAAUUCUUUCUAUCACCUCUUAGAUUACAAAUUACAAUAGUAGUCAGCAGUUUUGCAAUAAGAUCCUUUCAAGUGAUAUGAUUUCCGAUCAGUGUAAGCAUUCAUUUUUUGUUUAGACAAAUCAUGGUAUAGAUCUUCAUAUAUGAUAUAUGUAAAUAUCCUGUAUAAUCAUGUUGACAUAAUUUAAUUUCAUCCUUGCACUUAUUGAUGUAUAAAUCAAUAUAUUUAUAAUUUCUUUUCCUAAAUUUCUUUUGGAAUUAAAUAAUUUUUGAACAAUUCUUAUUAUGAUGCUAAUAAUUGAGAUUUUCCUUUCAGAUUUUGGGUAUAAUAUUGAUCUUGAUGUCCUUGAGUUGUUUGUGGAUCUAUAUCUCAAAGACUCAAACAAUGAAGAAGAUGCUCCAAGUUGGCACUAUAGCUUCUCUGGUUAGUCAUGAUUUGACAUCUUUAAUAAUAUGAAUAAGAGAUUUUUUUUUAUUCGGUAAUGUGUUUUGUAUAAUCUAUAUAUGGUUGUGAUAAUAAUUGAUGUUUGCAUUUGGUGUUUUGAUAAGAAAUAUAUAUGCUACAAAUUUGAGAAGAAGUAU